GAAUUUGACCACACAUCGACGCUAGUACGGUCAAUUUCCUGCAAACCCAAAUUCCCAUUCCACCCUCCAACAAAAACCCAAUUCCCCGGCAUCAGCCCUGCACCGAAACCCUUCAAAACCCACCUCACAAUUUCACGAGCUUUCCCAAAAUGCCCCUCCUAAAACCCUCUCCUGACGCUUCCAUUCGCAAAUCAGAAUCCCCAUAAAACACCCAAAACCCUACACCAAAACCCAUGUCACAAUUUCGCAAGCCUUUUCCAAAUUGUCCCUACCCUGUCGCUAGCGCAAAACAAAAGAAAAAGACGCCAUUGAAGAAGCACCGAUGACAUCCUCUCCUCCUUUGCUCCCAUGGAAUCCGCCUUCGAUCCCGCCGACAAGAAGCUCGGCCUUGCCUGCCUCAAGGUGGGCCAGCACCUCGACUCCGAAGCAGUGAGAGAUCGACGCUUGGGAAAGCUAUGGGCGGAAUGCGAAAGAUGAGUUCAUGGAUGCUCAUUGACUUCUUGAACAAUUGAAGAAAAAGGCUUGGGGUUCAUUGAGCGAGGUUCCUAGAAAGGCUUUGCGAUUGCCCUACGCCAGUGAAGCGUUUUCCACCAAAGCCACACAUCCCCAUUUUGAGAUCUGUCUCUGGAAUCCUUUUCAUAUGCUCUUUUGCUAUUUAGUUCAUUGUUGUUCCUUCUUCUCAUUUUGCUGUCUUGAGGAGUUUCUGGGGAUUGAAUAGGCUGCUGGAUUGUAUCAGUGGAUCGGUGGUGGGUUUUUGUUCGGGAGAAGUUCUGAAGGGGUUCAACCGCAUGAUGUACCCAAUUUGCAAAGGGGAUUUUUCUUGGGAUUUGCUGUAGAUCCCCUACUGAUUGGAUGGUGAUUAUGGCCUAGAGAUCAGGAGUUCAAUAGUGUGUUUUAUUUUGUUUGAAGCAAAAGGCACGGGUUUUUGUGGUCUAAGGCGGCAAUUUUUUUCUUUGUAAAGGAUGGGCCCUAUUUCUGUUUCUGUAUCCUCAGGAAGAAUUUAUUGGCCUGCCGAGUGCAGUGGUCUAGCACGCAUGUUGGUGCUCCUUAGUUUGUAGGCACAGGGACUAACGCAAAUAGGGGUGGGUGUUGCUGAAUGGUCUGCCGGAUGGUCUUCCCAAAUGGGGCCGUGGUGGUGCCUCCUACUCAAGGAGUUGUGGAUGGUGCUGCCCAUCUGGGUCAUUGGCCUUCUUUACGAAGGGGACUUGGUUUUCUUUGGAUCUGCAUUGCUCGAGGUCUAUUUUGUGGCUCAGAGGAAUCCUGGGUUGUCUUUGGUUUUGGCAUAAGAAGUCUGCAGAGAUGAUGUUCUCUCCUUGGUUUUUGCUAGAGCUCUCGAUGCUCGUGCCGUGUUGGAGGCGUGUAUUUUUUUAACCAGCUUUGAAAGGUGACAUUGGCUACCGGAUUAGUGUAAUGCUUUUGUGGGUUGUGGCUGGUCGUCGGUGGGCUUCGAGAAGUGGCUGAGGUCUAUUGUGGGUGGCACUAGAGCUUUUUGUCGCCGCAUGCAUCCAAAGUUCCCAACGGUUUUAGGGAUGAGGCUGUUGUGGUUCAGGUUUAGAUUUGUGGUUUUCUAGGCCUGGCCUGGCUUUCUCUUGUUUUGCUUUAUAGAGUUGUGGAUGAAUAUGUUAGGUGGGGGCCGUUGAUUUUUGUGACUCCCACCCGAAAAACCAUAUCCCAGAUUUUCCAUCUAACAAAGUUACAGGUGGUGAGCUCCCACCUUUAUAUA
Molecule: long non-coding RNA, 1723 nt
Organism: Magnolia sinica
Lineage: Eukaryota; Viridiplantae; Streptophyta; Magnoliopsida; Magnoliales; Magnoliaceae
Exons: 3
Source: RefSeq, a predicted model, not a curated record